GACGAACGCUGGCGGCGUGCUUAACACAUGCAAGUCGAACGGAAAGGCCCUGCUUUUGUGGGGUGCUCGAGUGGCGAACGGGUGAGUAACACGUGAGUAACCUGCCCUUGACUUUGGGAUAACUUCAGGAAACUGGGGCUAAUACCGGAUAGGAGCUCCUGCUGCAUGGUGGGGGUUGGAAAGUUUCGGCGGUUGGGGAUGGACUCGCGGCUUAUCAGCUUGUUGGUGGGGUAGUGGCUUACCAAGGCUUUGACGGGUAGCCGGCCUGAGAGGGUGACCGGCCCCAUUGGGACUGAGGUACGGCCCAGACUCCUACGGGAGGCAACAGUGGAGAAUAUUGCACAAUGGGCGGAAGCCUGAUGCAGCAACGCCGCGUGCGGGAUGACGGCCUUCGGGUUGUAAACCGCUUUCGCCUGUGACGAAGCGUGAGUGACGGUAAUGGGUAAAGAAGCACCGGCUAACUACGUG
This 468-nucleotide ribosomal RNA is filed under the name uncultured bacterium. RNAcentral describes it as "partial 16S ribosomal RNA". It matches the Rfam family "Bacterial small subunit ribosomal RNA", at positions 28 to 507 of the family's 1533-position model. The record is from RNAcentral.